Molecule: long non-coding RNA, 2960 nt
Organism: Equus asinus (donkey)
Lineage: Eukaryota; Metazoa; Chordata; Mammalia; Perissodactyla; Equidae
Source: Ensembl
CAGGUUUUUCCAGCCGUGAGUCCAACGUGGUAACUCACCGCGGGGCUGCCCGAACUUGCCCAGGUUUCCGGCUCUCCCUCCUGCGCGCCCAGCUCUCCACCGACAAGCACACGCCCUGCGGUCUGACGCGCACCCGGCCCGGCCACAGGGCGGGUCCCAACCCCGUGCUCCAGGCUCCGUCCACACGGGGGAAGAAUCCUGGUCACGGUGGGAACAAGACACGCGCACGCGGAGCAGAAGGGGACCAACCGCGCAGACCGAGAAGUCAGAGGUCAGUGGCCAGAGUCUCGCCCCCCGACUCCCAGGAGUGAGGGGUCCUGAAUCCGGGGUUCACCGUUCUCUUCAUUUCCUCCACUUUCCCCACAAACACGCGCGACCCCGUCGGCGCCCACGGCUGCUCUGCUUUUUCCAGGCCCACCCUGAGCCGGGCUGGACGCUCAUCCCCUCGAUGGGCAGCUCCAGUGCCCUGUGCCCCCCGGGACGUUCCCUCGGCCGCGACAGAGGGUGGCCCCACCGCGUGGCUUGUCCAGCCCGGCCACGCCUCCAAGACCCUCCACGGCCCUAGGCUGCCGUCCCCUCCGCUCACCCCUUUGGGACCCCACAGACACGCCUCCUCCAGGAAGCUCUCCUGGGUCCUCCCUCCGGCCCCCGCUCCAUCCUCUGUCCCGUCGCCCUGACACACACGUCCAACAGCAGCGAGAUGACCUGCGGUGUGGCCGGACCUCAGCUCUGUGUCGGCCGCCGGCCGCAGCCGCCCACGCACGCGGGGCCGGAGAAACCGCCAGGGGCCUUGGAUCAGAGGAGGCGGACGUCUGGCUCCUGGGAGGAAGCCCAGCAAAAAGGAGCGCAGAGAAGCAGCCGUUCGCUCCGGCCCGGCCGAUGGGACUUCCCGCGGCCAUGAAACGAUCCUGGGGCCUCGGGGCGGGGUGGCCGCCAGCCCCGAGAAUCUGGUCCUUUUAUUUCCUUGAAACCAUCAGGCGGCCAGCGACCCCUUUAUUGCAGAUCCAAACGGCAGCAGAUUCUGGUUAUUCGCAGACCCUGUGUUUGCGAUUCCACCGCCCGUUGAAGUCAGUUUGUAUCUAUUUGCAAAUGUAUUUGUGAAGCGUGUUUAUACACUUGCAAAACGCAUCCUAAGUGGAUGCUCUGUCGCUCUCGGGGUCAUUCCAGCGGAAAGGAGCCGCCCGAGGCGCCCGUGGCGGAACCAGGCGACGUCGCCUUCUGAAGCCGCUCGGCGUGGACACCAGGGUCCUUUUCGUGGCUUAUUCGGUGCCGCGUGUUUUCAUCUGGUGCUUUUUGUGGGUGAUUCCGCCGUGUAUGUGGCCCCCGGGGUCGCGCUGAGGUGCCGGCCAGGGUCCCUGAGCACGAGGUGGCCGCGAUGCACCUCUGGGAGGAGAUGCGUGCGGACACGGCGUCCGUCAGGUGUGAGUUAAGCGCCGCUGGCCGUGGGUUCGAGGCUCGCGGAUGGACAAUAUACAGGAAAUGAGAUGUCUUACGCAGGAACGCACGUGACACAGACGACGGAUUGACGGGCGGAUGGAAAUAUGGUGACUGCAGGCUCGCAGGACCCUGACCCUGUAUUUCCCGCAGGAGCGGGGGGUCAGUGCUAAUUCCGCGUCCGUGGAGGUGCCCCAAUUAUGCAGCAGUUUGCAAACGGAACGUGCCGUGAGUCCUCAGAUCGAGAGAACGUCCCCAGGUCCCCAGCGGUGCCCUCCACCCUUCUUGGCCACUGACUCGCCAGAGUGCCCCGGCCCGGGUUCCAGCACCAUCCGUGGGUUUUGCCCCAUCGAGAGCCUCAUUCACCUGGAAUCCCACAGCGUCUGUUCAUGUGUCGGCUUCUUUCCCGUUGCUGUGAGCAGCUGUUCUUUUUCUUUGCUGCGUAGUAUUCCACUGUGUGACCUCACCACAAACGAUGUCUCUGUUCUGUGGUUGGCAAGCGCCUCGGUUCUUUCCAGGGUUUGUCUGUUAGGUUUUUUUCCAAAAAAGCUGCCGUGGAGAUUUCUGUCAAGGCUCUUGUUGACUGUUUUCCCCACGUUUCUCUUGGGUAAACACGCGGGAGCUCGAGCCCCUCUGCUCAGACGAGGUAAACGGGCAAGUUCACGAGAAGCUGCUGAGUGGAUUCCAAGGCGGCCGGACCGUCCCUGCCACCAGGGGCGUCUCCAGUUCCGCCUGCCCCGUCCUCGCCUGCGCUUGGCAUUUCCACCCUUCGUCUCAGCGAUUUCUUCAAAACAGCUUUAUUAAAUGUAAUUCACAUACCAUGCAGCUCGCCGUGUAGACGGUACAAUUCAGUGCUUUUCAGUACAUUCAGGGCGUUGUGCAAACAUCACUACAAUCAAUUUUAGAACAUUUCACCACCGGGAAAGAAAUGCCUGACAUCGGUGGUCACCCCCCACCAACUCCCGGCCCCCACAAGCCCGCUCUCUGUCUGUGGAUCUGCCUGUUCUGGAUGUUUCCCGUCCAUGGGGUCACACGCCGUGUGUCCUUCUGCUUCUGCUUCUCUCCCUGAGCGUUGUGUGUUCAGGUCCGUCCACGUGAAGCCGUGUCAGGGCCUCGCUCCUCUUCACGGCUGCGUCGUGUUCCAGCGUGUGGAUGGACACGUGUGUGGGUGGACACGUGUCCAGCUUUGGCUGUCGUGAGUCAUGCCGCAGUGGACACGUGUCCGUGCGUGUUUUCAGUUCUCUGGGUCACGGAGCGGGGAUUGGAGUUGCUGGGUCAGGCGGCAGCUCUGUGCUGCCCGUCCGCACGUCCGCCCUCACUGGGACCCGCGCGUGCACACACACACACACACACACACAGAGGCAGAGCCGCUGGGUCAAGCUGGGGCCAGAACGCUCACUCAACCUCUCUGGUCUUGGAAAAGGAAAUGAUAGUAUUUCCUACUCAGAAUGAAAGGGUUAAACAGGAAGGCGUGGAGGGAGGGGCCGUCCCAGCUCCCACACUGCGGACAGGAUGGGGGAUCUGCC